Molecule: RNase P RNA, 383 nt
Filed under: Fructilactobacillus sanfranciscensis
Lineage: Bacteria; Bacillati; Bacillota; Bacilli; Lactobacillales; Lactobacillaceae
Description: Lactobacillus sanfranciscensis RNase P RNA component class B
Rfam family: Bacterial RNase P class B
About the family: Ribonuclease P (RNase P) is a ubiquitous endoribonuclease, found in archaea, bacteria and eukarya as well as chloroplasts and mitochondria. Its best characterised activity is the generation of mature 5'-ends of tRNAs by cleaving the 5'-leader elements of precursor-tRNAs.
Source: RNAcentral
UGCUCUGAGUAAUCGCGGUUAGCUAUAUGCUGGCUGAGGAAAGUCCACUCUCGCACAGGCUGUGAUGCCUGUAGUGUUCGUGCUCGGUGAAAAAAUAAGCCGAGGGAUUGUUUUUAACAAUUACGGCGAAGGAAAUAGCUAAGUACUUCGGUAUAUGUUACAGUACUUCCCAAGGUGCUAUAGAGACGAUUAAUUCAAGAAAUUGGAUUACUGGAACGCAGUAAACCCCGCGAGCGGGAAACCCAAACUUUGGUAGGGGAGCUUUACACACGGAAACAGAACCAAGUGUAGGGCAGAAAUCUUUUUUGAUUUCUGAGAUAGAUGAUUACUACUCAAUUGUUUUUCCUGAUAAUUCAAUUGAGCACAAAACAUGGCUUACAGGA